ACAACUACACAAAUUCACCACAGCUGUAGGGAAAUUUUUGACAGGUGUCAAGCUCACAGGCGCGCAGAGCAAAUCCUUGCUGGACAAAAAGCCAAAAACUUUACUUCUUUUGGAGCAAUAUUUGAAUCUGUUUUCCCCCUUUCAUAUCCUUGCUUACUGGGCCAAAAAACACAAGCCCAAUCCUAUUCGGCCCAAACAAAACAAAAUUGGUGCUGCACAAUCAUCUUGAACUGUCGCUUUCUUUCUCAGCUUUGUAACAGGUUUGGAUACUUUUUUUAGCAAACACUUUGGCUUUCAUUAUUUCUCAAGCAAAUAACAAUAUCUAAUCUAUGCAACAUCCCUCUCUUCAUCUCUGUUCACAUCACACUUUGAAAGAAAACACAGCUCAUUUCCCCCUCUUCCAGAACUCAAUUCAAAUUUUGAAUCCCUACUUCUAUCUCUCUUUUUUCGGACUCUCUCUCUCUCUCCCUCUGCUAUUCUUCUUUCUCAAAUUUAAUGAUUUACAAACUCAGGGACGACAAAGAUCGAUGAAGCAGAGCACACAGUGAUAUGCAGGUAUCCUCAUAAAGGAAUGUUCAAAGGGCUUCUCAAAAAGCAAGGUUCACAAAAUUACGGUUUGAUGGGUUUAUGUAAAGUUAAGGUGAACGAUCAUAUCAACUCAAUUUGAGAAGUUGAUAUAUAAUAUUGAUUAGGUUAUGCAUCUCUAAAGCUAUUUGGUUAUGCAGAAAUACUAAAUUUGUUGGUUCGUCAGAGGUAUAUUUUAUUCUAUAAUACCACAACUACAUCAGAGGCCAAAAGAUUUGUAGACUAUUUGACUACUUUGGUCCUCUAAAUGAAGUUUUCGUGCCUCAUGAUUAUUAUAUUAGAUUGCAGGUUUGAGUUCAAAGGAUGGUAACUAAGAAUAUGAUGGAGCAAAAUUAACAUGUUUCCUUUGAGCACAUGUAUUAUUGUGAGUAAAAUAUUUUACAUUCCUCACUCACUGACAUUGAUACGGUAAACUCUUAUAACUGUUAGCAUUUUAAUACAUAGAUAAAUCAUUGAAAUCUAAAUUUGCUCUAGCUCAUCCAAUUUCCGUUGUAAGUUUGGAAUGUGCAUCAACUUUGUUCUUUGUGUGCUUUGAGAAUUAAGGCUACUCUUGGCUAAUAUCUAUAUCUAUUGUAUGAUAUUCAAAAUGUGAUUGGAGAUUUAAAAGAUAGAAUUAAUUAGAUUUUCUUUGUUUAUUUUGUUCUGUUCAUGUUUUGCUUUCAUUGUAUUUGAAAACUCUAAUUUGAUUUAUUCUCAUGUUUUGUAUUUAUUUUUUAUUGACCGCCUUUAAACUUUAUAUGCAUAUGACUACAUUUGGUAAAUGUAUUGUUCUAUAAAGUAUCUAUCCAAUUGACUGUUACCUAACUUCAAUUUAGUAUCUAUAAAGGCAAUUAAUGUUAUUUCCUUUUGUUUCUCUAAAGGCAAUUAGUGUAUUAAGUGAAUGGUGUAGGAAACUCAUACUUAUUUUCUAUUGGGAUGUUCUUGAGUUGACUGUGUGCAUGAGUUUAUGGUGAUUAGUUUAUUACUUCUUUGAAGAGGUUUGGUUUCAUAGGUCACUUUGGGGGGACACCAUAAUGUCACUUUUAUAGGUUAGUUUAUGAUUUGAUACAUGUGUGAAAAAGUUUUACACUGUCGGUGUAUACCAAUUAACCUUAAUUCUAAUAAUGGCUUCAAAUGUUUAUGUUACUCAUCUGAGAGGUAUAAUUAUUCAUUGUUAAUACUAUAUAAUUUUACUUAAUUUCUGAUGUCUUACAAUCAAAAUUCAGUAUAUUGUGUGGGCAAACAUGUGAAUUAUCAUUUGAUAUAGUUUUUUUUAUCAGGUAAGACAUAGUAGUGGAAGUGGUGGAAGGUGAUGCUAGAAAUGUUCUCUGUGAUGCUCUGGAGAAGCACCAUGCUUCAAUAUUGGUUCUUGGUAGUCAUGGUUAUGGAGCUAUAAAAAGGGCGGUAUUAGGUAGUGUAAGGACUACUGUGCUCAUCAUGCUCAUUGCACUGUGAUGAUUGUGAAGAAGCCAAAAACCAAACACUGAUCUCAUUGGCUGCACGCGUCUAAAUUGUCCAACAGCAAUCAGAAUAUAUAUAUUUUCAGCAAAAGGAAACAUGAAUGUUCUUUAAAGUUUUCACCAAGUUGUUUGUUCCAUGUCA
Trifolium pratense (red clover) is the source of this 2166-nucleotide long non-coding RNA. RefSeq lists it as uncharacterized. NCBI's taxonomy places the organism in Eukaryota, Viridiplantae, Streptophyta, Magnoliopsida, Fabales, Fabaceae. The record is from RefSeq and is a predicted model, not a curated record. The transcript is spliced from 9 exons.